Molecule: ribosomal RNA, 2208 nt
Filed under: human gut metagenome
Description: bacterial LSU rRNA
Rfam family: Bacterial large subunit ribosomal RNA (bases 1-1983)
Source: RNAcentral
AAGAGAGCCGACAGGAUCCAAAGUACCACGGGACACGAGGAAUCCCGUGGGAAGACGGGGGGACCACCCUCCAAGCCUAAAUACUACCCAGUGACCGAUAGCGUAUAGUACUGUGAAGGAACGGUGAAAAGAACCCCGGGAGGGGAGUGAAAAGAACCUGAAACUCUGUGCUUACAAGCACAUAGAGCACGUCAAUGUGUGAUAUGGUACCUUUUGUAGAAUGGUCCGGCGAGUUAUGGUAUGCAGCGUGGUUAAGGACUUCAGGUCUGAAGCCGAAGCGAGAGCGAGUCUGACAAGGGCGAAAAGUUGUAUGCCAUAGACCCGAAACCGGGUGACCUAGCCAUGUCCAGGCUGAAGUGGAGGUAAAACUCCAUGGAGGGCCGAACCGACCUCCGUUGAAAAGGCGGCGGAUGAGAUGUGGCUAGCGGAGAAAUUCCAAUCGAACCCGGAUAUAGCUGGUUCUCCCCGAAAUAGCUUUAGGGCUAGCGUUGUAUUAGAUUACCGGAGGUAAAGCACUGAAUGGGCUAGGGGCUGAGAAGUUACUGAACCCUAUCAAACUAAGAAUGCCGGAUAAUUGAUGUACAACAGUCAGACUAUGUGAGAUAAGUCUCAUAGUCAAAAGGGAAACAGCCCAGACCCACAGCUAAGGUCCCAAAAUGGAUUUAAGUGGAAAAGGAUGUGGAAUUGCACAGACAACCAGGAUGUUGGCUUAGAAGCAGCCACUCAUUAAAAGAGUGCGUAAUAGCUCACUGGUCGAGUGACUCUGCGCCGAAAAUUUAACGGGGCUAAACUAUACACCGAAGCUUGGGAUACAUCUAAUGUAUGGUAGGAGAGCGUUCUGUAUGGGGAGAAGUCGUAGCGAAAGCGGCGGUGGACUAUACAGAAGUGAGAAUGCCGGAAUAAGUAGCGAGAAUUAAGUGAGAAUCUUAAUGGCCGAAAGUCUAAGGUUUUUGGAGGAAGGUUCGUCCGCUCCAAGUAAGUCGGGAGCUAAGGUCAGGCCGAAAGGCGUAGCCGAUGCACAUACGGUUGAUAUUCCGUAACCAUCUGUAAUUUAAGCAAAGGGACACUUCAAAAGGGUGUGACCCGGGCGUUGGUUGACCCGGGCGUAAGGGACCGAAAUUAGAGUAGGGAAGCACACUUGGCUGAAGGCGAGAAAAGCUUUGUGUAUAGAAGCAGAUGCCCGUACCGCAAACCGACACAGGUGGACAGGAAGAGAAUUCUAAGGCCAGCGGGAGAAGGGUAGUUAAGGAACUCGGCAAAUUGACUCCGUAACUUCGGAAUAAGGAGUGCUCGAAAGAGCCGCAGAGAAUAGGCCCAGGCGACUGUUUAGCAAAAACACAGGUCUCUGCCAAAUCGAAAGAUGAAGUAUAGGGGCUGACACCUGCCCGGUGCCGGAAGGUUAAGAGGAGGAGUGAGAGCUCCGAAUUGAAGCCCCGGUAAACGGCGGCCGUAACUAUAACGGUCCUAAGGUAGCGAAAUUCCUUGUCGGGUAAGUUCCGACCCGCACGAAUGGUGUAAUGAUCUGGACACUGUCUCAACAACGCACCCGGCGAAAUUGUAGUACCGGUGAAGAUGCCGGUUACCCGCGGCAAGACGGAAAGACCCCAUGGAGCUUUACUGUAGCCUGAUAUUGGGUUUCGGAAAUCUAUGUACAGGAUAGGCGGGAGACUGGGAAACAUGAGCGUCAGCUUGUGUGGAGUCGAUGUUGGGAUACCGCCCUUAGGUUUCUGGAAUUCUAACCUGCGGCCGUGAAUCCGGUCGGGGGACAUUGUCAGGUGGGCAGUUUGACUGGGGCGGUCGCCUCCGAAAAGGUAACGGAGGCGCUCAAAGGUUAGCUCAGCACGUCCGCCUCGGGCGCUUCGGCCUUGGCAUAGCGGAAGAAGAUCGCAGCCAGCUGCUCGCGGGUGACCGGCUCGGACGGGGCGAACUUGUUGCCACCGACGCCGUUGACGAUGCCGUUUGCGGCGGCCCAGGCGAUCGCAUCGGAGUACCACUGGCCGUCAGCCACAUCCGUGAAGCCGGACGGAGCGUCGACAGUCGGGCUGCCCGCCAUGCGGUAGAGCACGGUGACGAGCAUGGCGCGCGUCAGGGUGUCCUUCGGUGCAAACGUCGUAGAGGUCGUGCCGACCAUGAGGCCGUUCUCGAUCACGAAGCAGAUGCCUUCCUUCGCCCAAUCCGUCGGGAUGUCUGUGUAGGCAGCGCACUUGU